Long non-coding RNA from Hyalella azteca, 844 nucleotides. RefSeq lists it as uncharacterized. The record is from RefSeq and is a predicted model, not a curated record. Lineage: Eukaryota; Metazoa; Arthropoda; Malacostraca; Amphipoda; Hyalellidae. The transcript has 2 exons.
AGCGCCCCCUUGACCGGUCUCGGCACCGGCAGCAUUAAUAAAACUCCAAGGCAGAGGAAGCGACCUCCUUUGACGUCAAAAACACGCGCUGUGGUGGCCGCGACACCGGCGCCGCUGAGCGAGCGCGAGGAGCUGCAGCGCCGGCAGCAGAGGCUCGGCCAGGCCGGCGACGCCAACAACAAAAUUAACAAGAAGAAAAAACUUCACAUUUGAAGAACAUGAUCCAUGACUUGAAUGAUACAGUUUAUUUCUGCUUUUGUACUAUCUCCAAUAUUAAAGAAGAAAAAGCUUCACAUUUGAAGAACUUAAGAUUUAAACCUACUGAUGUGUCGUGGCGAUCCAUGACUUGAAUGAUACAGUUUAUCUCUGCAUUUGAACUAUCUUGGGUGUUAAAGAAGAAAAAGCUUCACAUAUGAAGAACAGGAGACAUGACUUGAAUGAUACAGUUUAUUUCUGCGUUUGGGUAUUUUUAUCUCGGGUAUUUUUAAAAUAUAGUUCGUUAAAUUAACUGCACCAAUCAUCUGAUACUGCUACACACAUAAUGGCUGCAGAAAUUCUGGUUCAUCGACACCACCAUUUCUUAUGUGAACAAAAAAAUCUUUUCAUUAACUUCGUCCCUCUUCCUAAUUCAACCCUGAACAAAAUCAGGUUCUCCUAAAUAUUUUAUAGAGGCCGUCAUACACACAAGACUCUUUUACCUGUUCGUAACAAGCCUGAGAAUUCGUAACAUUACAGCGGCUCAUCUACGGGAGUUGGGAGAAACAAAUUACACGUCACUUGACAUCAACAUCAAGAUCUCUGUUUCAUACGAACACAACUGAACAAAUUACACAUCACUUGACAU